Molecule: non-coding RNA, 72 nt
Organism: Phrynosoma platyrhinos (Desert horned lizard)
Lineage: Eukaryota; Metazoa; Chordata; Lepidosauria; Squamata; Phrynosomatidae
Source: the annotation of a GenBank genome assembly
GCCAGCAUGGUGUAGUGGUUUGAGCAUUGGACUUUGACUCUGGAGGCCAAGGUUCAAAUUCCUGCUCAGCCA